Molecule: ribosomal RNA, 655 nt
Filed under: Pseudomonadota bacterium
Lineage: Bacteria; Pseudomonadati; Pseudomonadota
Description: bacterial SSU rRNA
Rfam family: Bacterial small subunit ribosomal RNA
Source: RNAcentral
AUUGAACGCUGGCGUCAUGCCUUACACAUGCAAGUCGAACGGCAGCGCGGGAGCAAUCCUGGCGGCGAGUGGCGAACGGGUGAGUAAUAUAUCGGGAACGUGCCCUGUAGCGGGGGGAUAACCUAUCGAAAGAUGGACUAAUACCGCAUACGCUCUACGGAGGAAAGCGGGGGUCGCAAGACCUCGCACUACAGGAGCGGCCGAUAUCGGAUUAGCUAGUUGGCGGGGUAAAAGCCCACCAAGGCUACGAUCCGUAGCUGGUCUGAGAGGAUGAUCAGCCACACUGGAACUGAGACACGGUCCAGACUCCUACGGGAGGCAGCAGUGGGGAAUUUUGGACAAUGGGCGCAAGCCUGAUCCAGCCAUGCCGCGUGAGUGAAGAAGGCCUUCGGGUUGUAAAGCUCUUUCGGCAGGAACGAAAUGGUUCGUGCUAAUACCACGGACUGAUGACGGUACCUGAAGAAGAAGCACCGGCUAACUACGUGCCAGCAGCCGCGGUAAUACGUAGGGUGCAGGCGUUAAUCGGAAUUACUGGGCGUAAAGCGUGCGCAGGCGGUUUCUUAAGUCAGAUGUGAAAGCCCCGGGCUUAACCUGGGAACUGCGUUUGAAACUGGGAGUCUUGAGUGUGGCAGAGGGGGGUGGAAUUCCACGUGUA